Molecule: long non-coding RNA, 889 nt
Organism: Bombus terrestris (buff-tailed bumblebee)
Lineage: Eukaryota; Metazoa; Arthropoda; Insecta; Hymenoptera; Apidae
Exons: 4
Source: RefSeq, a predicted model, not a curated record
AGAAAAAAAGAAAAAAAGAAACGAAUAAUAAUCGGUUUAUAGUAUCAGGUUAGUCAGUAUAGUAUGUAGGUUUCGAAGAACAACAGUAUUUCCUAAACAAAAACUCUUCUAACCCAUCUUCCCCGCUAAUAUAACUUUUUUUCAGAGAAUGUUUGUGAUCGCGCGCAAUGCGAUCCAUAGAGUCAGUGUUUGCUGCGUAAUAACAUCUCGUAUAUUUUUUCUGGAGCGCAAUAGCUCCCCAAGAGGAUACAGGAACUCCGAUACUCAAUUUUUUCAUAACUUUUCCUAGCUUUUUCUUGGAAGCUUCGAAAAGGACGCAGUGAUGCUACGAAACUAAGCGUGGUUAUCACUCCUUUCUCUUGCUCCUAUUUCUUAAAAAGGAGCUAGUGGGCCUUGAAAAGCCAAGAAUAUUUUUCCAUGAUGGAAUUGCAUGGCUCCUCCUUGAGCCGACGGUCUUCACUUCCUCUGAGCUACCACAGCAUCGAUGACUACGUUCUUCGCAUCUUAUCGUGAGUCGCAUGGAUUUUUGUUCCUUCGGUCGCUCGAUCAUGUCGUAGGACGAAAGGUCCGAAUCGACACGGGUGACUGGUUGUAUUACGUAGAAUUUUUUGCGAGCACAGCGAGUAGUAACAUUUUCUUUUUCUGUGUAUUAUUUAUUAGUUCAGGAUAGGUCUUUUUGCGCAUCGCGUUUUGUUUUUUUCUUUUAUAUUAAUUUGCAUGAUACUGACAAAUGUUGUAUUAACAAUGUUACAAUAUUGGCAUUAACUGGUACAAGAGAUAUUAUAUUAACAGUUAAUUUGAAUAUUUGUGAUUGAAGGUGCGUUCGUUAUAAUUACCUUUAAAUGUAUCUAUUAAAUGUAUUAAAAAUAUACAUUUAGAGAAGGAAAUU